GAUGGAUUGUGUUGUAGCAUCUUUUGGUUGCGUGAUUUGUAGAUUUGUGAAAAAAUAGAUCUUUUUUUUUUUUGGCAUGUUCAAUGUUUUGGUUGUCUUGUUUUACAGAUUUGUUCGAUUUGGAUCUCUGUGUUGGCUUGUUUCCAUCUAUUGUAGCACCUUUUGGAGGCUUCUUUGCCAGUGGUUUCAAAAGAGCCUUUAAAAUCAAGGAUUUUGGUGAUAGUAUAUGUGGACAUGGUGGAAUUACAGAUAGAAUUAACUUUGUUUACUCCCAUAGAUGGGGAAAGAGUACAUAUCAAAUGGUUCAUCAGAUUCAAUAUCAU
This is a long non-coding RNA of Juglans microcarpa x Juglans regia, 323 nucleotides long. RefSeq lists it as uncharacterized. NCBI's taxonomy places the organism in Eukaryota, Viridiplantae, Streptophyta, Magnoliopsida, Fagales, Juglandaceae. The transcript is spliced from 3 exons. The record is from RefSeq and is a predicted model, not a curated record.